This 147-nucleotide ribosomal RNA is filed under the name Triticum aestivum (bread wheat). RNAcentral's name for it is "partial small subunit ribosomal RNA". The record is from RNAcentral. Lineage: Eukaryota; Viridiplantae; Streptophyta; Magnoliopsida; Poales; Poaceae.
AUGAAAAAUAUUCAACAAAAGACAGAAACAAAUCCACUAAUGGUUUUACGUCAAGCAAUACAUAGAGUAACUCCCAAUAUAGAAGUAAAAACAAGAUGUAAUAAAAAAGGAUCGACGCGGAAAGUUCCGACUGAAAUAGGAUCCUAA